This 253-nucleotide ribosomal RNA is filed under the name uncultured bacterium. RNAcentral's name for it is "partial 16S ribosomal RNA". It matches the Rfam family "Bacterial small subunit ribosomal RNA", at positions 524 to 776 of the family's 1533-position model. The record is from RNAcentral.
UACGGAGGUGGCAAGCGUUGCUCGGAAUCACUGGGCGUAAAGCGCACGUAGGCGGGCGUGUCAGUCAGGGGUGAAAUCCCGGAGCUCAACUCCGGAACUGCCUCUGAUACAGCACGUCUUGAGUUCGAGAGAGGUGGGUGGAAUUCCUAGUGUAGAGGUGAAAUUCGUAGAUAUUAGGAAGAACACCGGUGGCGAAGGCGGCCCACUGGCUCGAUACUGACGCUGAGGUGCGAAAGCGUGGGGAGCAAACAGG